UGUUUCAAACGCCCAUUUAUGAGGUUUCCCAGCAGUGCUGCUGGCACACCAACUCCUACAUUGUCGAGACUGCAGUUAUGACUGAGCUGCUGAGACUUCAGGAGAACAAUCAGCUCCCGUCAUCAGUGUCUGGUGAAGACAUGAUGAAUCUGAUCGAGGAUCGGUGCAAAAGCUCGAGAGUGCAGCUUUGGGAGUUUCAUCUGGAGCCCUACGAUAACCCUGAGUCCCUCCCCCUGCUCAAUCUGUACAAUCUGGUCUGGGAGGUGAGCAACAGUUUGAAGAAGAGGG
Molecule: long non-coding RNA, 288 nt
Organism: Limanda limanda (common dab)
Lineage: Eukaryota; Metazoa; Chordata; Actinopteri; Pleuronectiformes; Pleuronectidae
Exons: 4
Source: RefSeq, a predicted model, not a curated record